AACGAACGCUGGCGGCAGGCCUAACACAUGCAAGUCGAACGAAGUCUUCGGACUUAGUGGCGCACGGGUGAGUAACACGUGGGAAUAUACCUUACGCUGGGGGAUAACAUCGGGAAACUGAUGCUAAUACCGCAUACGCCCUUCGGGGGAAAGAUUUAUCGGCGAAAGAUUAGCCCGCGUCCGAUUAGCUAGUUGGUGAGGUAAUGGCUCACCAAGGCUCCGAUCGGUAGCUGGUCUGAGAGGAUGACCAGCCACACUGGGACUGAGACACGGCCCAGACUCCUACGGGAGGCAGCAGUGGGGAAUAUUGGACAAUGGGCGCAAGCCUGAUCCAGCCAUGCCGCGUGAGUGGUGAAGGCCUUAGGGUUGUAAAGCUCUUUCACCCACGACGAUGAUGACGGUAGUGGGAGAAGAAGCCCCGGCUAACUUCGUG
Molecule: ribosomal RNA, 433 nt
Filed under: uncultured bacterium
Lineage: Bacteria
Description: partial 16S ribosomal RNA
Rfam family: Bacterial small subunit ribosomal RNA
Source: RNAcentral